RNAcentral lists this ribosomal RNA (176 nucleotides) under uncultured bacterium. RNAcentral's name for it is "partial 16S ribosomal RNA". It matches the Rfam family "Bacterial small subunit ribosomal RNA", at positions 1315 to 1500 of the family's 1533-position model. The record is from RNAcentral.
CCUACAUGAAGUCGGAGUUGCUAGUAAUCGCGGAUCAGAAUGCCGCGGUGAAUGCGUUCCCGGGUCUUGUACACACCGCCCGUCACACCAUGGAAGUUGGGGGCGCCCGAAGUUGCCUAAGAAAUAAGGUACCUAAGGCGAAACCAAUGACUGGGGUGAAGUCGUAACAAGGUACC